RNA transcript from Prosopis cineraria, 855 nucleotides. It is a transcript of the gene named protein NONRESPONDING TO OXYLIPINS 2, mitochondrial, with no coding region annotated. Lineage: Eukaryota; Viridiplantae; Streptophyta; Magnoliopsida; Fabales; Fabaceae. The transcript has 4 exons. The record is from RefSeq and is a predicted model, not a curated record.
AGCCUAAACCUCGGUAAAACCCUAGUUUCAAUCUCUGGAGGCUCUCUCUGAAAGCUCUAUUCCUCGGGAAUUUGGUGCUAUUGUUCAAAUGGCCUCUCGUUGUAGAUCUCUGUCGCAACCAGCAGUCUCGCUUAUUAGAUCUACCAUUUCUAAAUCAUCAAACAAGCCCAAGCCCUCAACUUUCCUCCACCACACUCGCUCGCCUCCUACAUUUCCGAGGGCGGUUCCUCAUCUCGGUUGCGCGCAGUCCUUGCUUCCCUUCCACUCUGCAAUCUCCUCAGCUCGCCUCACCUCUUGCCUUGGUAUAGAUUCAAGGAACUCCAGGUCGUUGUCUCAGGGUAUGCUCUGCAGUGCCAACCCCGGAGUUUGAUAUCUCGAAUGUUUUUUAUUUGGUAUCUUAGGUGCGCAGUCCCAAUACUUUGUAAAGCCCUGCGGUAUUGUGCCUUUUGUGUUGUGCCAAUGUCAUUUUUGUGAACCACUCAUUGAUUCUUUGCUCUCCACCACCCCCCCUUUUUGGUUGCAUAUAUGCACACUGCACACCCAGAGCAGCUCCUGCAAACCUUGUCAAUCUAACAAGAAAUGGGCCUCAGCACACCUCGAUAAGCGAUUUAGAAGACCAACGAUUGAUGAAUUAUAGUCAUCGGUUCCGCUGCUGGGAUGCCUUUUGCGGUGAACUGUUUAAUUUUUUAAAAUGAUUUUCAGCAUGACGGGUACAAAGUUGGAAGAAUCCUUCCAUAUUCCUGUAACUAAGGCCGCGGAUCCCUAAAAAUUCUGGUUCAAUCCAGGUUCAAUUGUUUAAAGAUUGACUUCAGCUUUGGUACUUGAUUAUUAACAAAUAAAGAACACGUUCAUGCA